RNAcentral lists this ribosomal RNA (471 nucleotides) under uncultured bacterium. RNAcentral describes it as "bacterial SSU rRNA". It matches the Rfam family "Bacterial small subunit ribosomal RNA", at positions 355 to 825 of the family's 1533-position model. The record is from RNAcentral.
UAAGGAAUAUUGGUCAAUGGACGAAAGCCUGACGCAGCGACGCCGCGUGAGUGAUGAAGGCCUUCGGGUUGUAAAGCUCUGUGGGGAGAGAAGAAUAAGUGCGGGCUAAUACUCCGCAUGAUGACGGUAUCUCCUUAGCAAGCACCGGCUAACUCUGUGCCAGCAGCCGCGGUAAGACAGAGGGUGCAAACGUUGUUCGGAAUUACUGGGCGUAAAGCGAGUGUAGGCGGUUUGGUAAGUCGGAUGUGAAAGCCCCGGGCUCAACCCGGGAAGUGCACUCGAUACUGCCAAGCUAGAGUAUCGGAGAGGUUGGUGGAAUUCUCGGUGUAGAGGUGAAAUUCGUAGAUAUCGAGAGGAACACCGGUGGCGAAGGCGGCCAACUGGACGAAUACUGACGCUGAGACUCGAAAGCGUGGGGAGCAAACAGGAUUAGAUACCCAGGUAGUCCCUGAGCGGGCUGGCAAGGCGCAU